GACCCAAAGAUUGCGCACUGCGCCGGUA
Molecule: small RNA, 28 nt
Filed under: Bombyx mori (domestic silkworm)
Lineage: Eukaryota; Metazoa; Arthropoda; Insecta; Lepidoptera; Bombycidae
Description: ovarian small RNA-15465
Source: RNAcentral